AAUAAUAUUUGAAAUUAAAUUUAUGAAAAUAUAAAUUUUGAAUUAAACUUAAAAUUUAAGAUUAAAAUAAGAAAAUACUAAAGUUUUGAGCACUGUGUUUAAAGUUUAUGUUUUAGGGUUUAAACCCAAAUCCCUAAACAUAAACUUUAAAACUUCAAUUUUUCAUAAUAUUACUAUAACCUUAAAUUUAAAUUCAAAAUUAAAUCAUUUUUAAAAUACAAUCUAAAAUUUAAAUUCUAAUUUCGUGUUUGAAUCAACGCUCGAGAUUUAAUUUCAAAUAUUAAAUCUAAAUCUUAAACCCUAAACUAUAAACCUAUAUAAUAUUCCAAAUCAAUAAUAUACCUUAAACUCUAACUAAAAAUCAUAAAACUCUAAUCUUUUUAUUAUUUAACUUCAAAUCUCAAAUUUAAUUAAAAAUAUAAUCUUAAAUCCAAACCCAAAACACUAUACUCCAAACCCUAUAAUUAUAUAUAAAUCUUAGAUUUAUUUAAAUAGAUACUUUACAUAAAUGUAUUUUUAUAAAAUUUCUUAUAAACCUAAACAACAUACCCCAAAUCAUACGCUAAACACCAAACCUAAUAUUUUCAAACUCAAACACUAUAUUAUAACCUUUAAAUUUAAACUCCAAACCCUAAACUAUACACUAAGAUCAUAUAACCCAAGUGAUAUACAUAAAUACUAAAGUUAAUAUCUUCAAACUUAAAACCUAAAUUGAAAUAUAAUUCUUAAAAAUAUAACUUUAAAAUAUAUUUUUCUAACUUUAAUCUAAUCUUCAAACCCUACAUCGUAAUCUUUAAUCCAAACUUCUUAACCUUAAAAUUAACUUCAAACCCUACCCAAUCCUCAAACCUUAUUAAAUCUUAUAUCAGGCCCGGCCCUGAGGGGAAGCUAAGGAAGCAUGGGCUUCCGGCCCUCAAAUAAUAUAAAUAAAAUUCAGCCAUUUUUCCAAAAAGUCUUCUUAGUCUAGUGGUGUAAAUCAUCUAUCUUUACACUUAGAAGCCUGGGUUCGAACCUUGUACAUGCCAAUCUCAGCCUUUUUUUUAGUUAGCUUGUGGUCUUGAAAUAGUCAGGACCGCUACUGUCUUAUAUACACAUAUGGUACAGUUUAAGAAUUUACGAACAUAUAUAUAUACAUAUUUUCUUUUUUUUCUUUUCUAUAAUUUAUAAGUAAUAAUAAAUUAAUACAAAAAGAGAAAUAAUCUUACUGGUCAAUCUAAAAGCACACGGAUUACUAUCCCUACCGUUGAUUAAGUUGAAUCCAUGGACUAAAAUUAUUUCUCCUUUUCUCCUCCUUCGUCAUUUACUUUCUCUUGUUCUUUCUUCUGCAGACACAAAAUUUCUUCUUCUCAAGUUUCAUACUGCUCUGCUCAUUACCUCCCCUGCUCCAUUCGAGCUGCUAUCACCGGAUUUUCCCUUCCCAUCCCUGACGAGCCACAGCCGUGCUGACUCUCUCCCGCCGCCGCGAAGACUCUUCUUUUAUCGGCCGUGACCAGCUCUUCUCAUCCCUCUCAAUGAAGUUGGAGGAUGUACAAGAGGCUUGACUAUGGAGAAGGCAAAGCGUGGUCUCGGCGUCUGUGGUGCAAGGCGUGGUCUCGGCGGCGGUUGUGCAAGGCGUGGUCGUAGUGUGGUGGUGCGGCGGAGAGAACAUGUGUUUAGGGUUUAGAUGCUGCGGUGGUUUGAUUAGUAAACCAUUUUGUAAUAGUAAACCAUGUAAUUGUAAUUGUAAUUGUAAACCAUGUAAACCAAAAUUCAAUUUAUAAAAAUACCAAUUUAUUAUU
Brassica napus (rape) is the source of this 1778-nucleotide long non-coding RNA. RefSeq lists it as uncharacterized. The transcript is spliced from 2 exons. NCBI's taxonomy places the organism in Eukaryota, Viridiplantae, Streptophyta, Magnoliopsida, Brassicales, Brassicaceae. The record is from RefSeq and is a predicted model, not a curated record.